CCUACGGGAGGCAGCAGUGGGGAAUAUUGGACAAUGGGCGAAAGCCUGAUCCAGCAAUGCCGCGUGAGUGAUGAAGGCCUUAGGGUUGUAAAGCUCUUUUACCAGGGAUGAUAAUGACAGUACCUGGAGAAUAAGCUCCGGCUAACUCCGUGCCAGCAGCCGCGGUAAUACGGAGGGAGCUAGCGUUGUUCGGAAUUACUGGGCGUAAAGCGUACGUAGGCGGUUAUUCAAGUCAGAGGUGAAAGCCCGGGGCUCAACCCCGGAACUGCCUUUGAAACUAGAUAGCUAGAAUCUUGGAGAGGUUAGUGGAAUUCCGAGUGUAGAGGUGAAAUUCGUAGAUAUUCGGAAGAACACCAGUGGCGAAGGCGACUAACUGGACAAGUAUUGACGCUGAGGUACGAAAGCGUGGGGAGCAAACAGGAUUAGAUACCCUGGUAGUCCACGCCGUAAACGAUGAUAACUAGUUGUUCGGGCACUUGGUGCCUGAGUGACGCAGCUACGCAUUAAGUUAUCCGUCCGUCGGGUAGGUACGGUCGUCGAGAGUUAAACGUUAAAGGUAAAGUUAGACGGCGUGUAAGUACGUGCGAACGGUACGACGACGAGGGAGGAGG
RNAcentral lists this ribosomal RNA (611 nucleotides) under uncultured bacterium. Its description in RNAcentral is "bacterial SSU rRNA". The stretch from base 1 to 517 matches the Rfam family "Bacterial small subunit ribosomal RNA", at positions 338 to 873 of the family's 1533-position model. The record is from RNAcentral.